UACAGAGACUGCAAGCGUUAUUCGGAUUCACUGGGCGUAAAGGGUGCGCAGGCGGCCAUGUGUGUCAGGUGUGAAAGCCCGGGGCUUAACCCCGGAAUUGCGCCUGAAACUACAUGGCUAGAGCAUUGGAGAGGGUAGCAGAAUUCAUGGUGUAGCAGUGAAAUGCGUAGAUAUCAUGAGGAAUACCAGAGGCGAAGGCGGCUACCUGGACAAUUGCUGACGCUCAGGCACGAAAGCGUGGGGAGCAAAAGGGAUUAGAUACCCCUGUAGUCCACGCCCUAAACGGUGCACACUAGGUCUUGGCGGAUUCGACCCCCCCAGGGCCCAAGCUAACGCGUUAAGUGUGCCGCCUGAGGACUACGGCCGCAAGGCUA
This 374-nucleotide ribosomal RNA is filed under the name uncultured prokaryote. RNAcentral's name for it is "bacterial SSU rRNA". It matches the Rfam family "Bacterial small subunit ribosomal RNA", at positions 524 to 896 of the family's 1533-position model. The record is from RNAcentral.